Molecule: ribosomal RNA, 450 nt
Filed under: uncultured Glomeromycotina
Lineage: Eukaryota; Fungi; Glomeromycota
Description: SSU rRNA
Rfam family: Eukaryotic small subunit ribosomal RNA
Source: RNAcentral
AGCAGCCGCGGUAAUUCCAGCUCCAAUAGCGUAUAUUAAAGUUGUUGCAGUUAAAAAGCUCGUAGUUGAAUUUCGGGAUCAAUACGUCGGUCGUGCUUCGGUACGUACUAACGUUAUUGGUUUCUCCUUUCUAACAAAUCGUGAUGUCAUUAAUUUGGUGUUACGGGAGUUGGGACUGUUACUUUGAAAAAUUAGAGUGUUUAAAGCAAGCAAUCGCUCGAAUACAUUAGCAUGGAAUAAUGAAAUAGGACGUUCGAACCUAUUUUGUUGGUUUCUAGGAUCGACGUAAUGAUUAAUAGGGAUAGUUGGGGGCAUUAGUAUUCAAUUGUCAGAGGUGAAAUUCUUGGAUUUAUUGAAGACUAACUACUGCGAAAGCAUUUGCCAAGGAUGUUUUCAUUAAUCAAGAACGAAAGUUAGGGGAUCGAAGACGAUCAGAUACCGUCGUAGUCU